This 468-nucleotide ribosomal RNA is filed under the name uncultured bacterium. RNAcentral's name for it is "partial 16S ribosomal RNA". It matches the Rfam family "Bacterial small subunit ribosomal RNA", at positions 28 to 507 of the family's 1533-position model. The record is from RNAcentral.
GACGAACGCUGGCGGCGUGCUUAACACAUGCAAGUCGAACGGCAAGGCCCUGCUUUUGUGGGGUGCUCGAGUGGCGAACGGGUGAGUAACACGUGAGUAACCUGCCCUUGACUUUGGGAUAACUUCAGGAAACUGGGGCUAAUACCGGAUAGGAGAUCCUGCUGCAUGGUGGGGGUUGGAAAGUUUCGGCGGUUGGGGAUGGACUCGCGGCUUAUCAGCUUGUUGGUGGGGUAGUGGCUGACCAAGGCUUUGACGGGUGGCCGGCCUGAGAGGGUGACCGGCGACAUUGGGACUGCGAGACGGCGCAGACUCCUACGUGAGGCAGCAGUGGGGAACAUGGCACAAUGGGCGGGAGCGUGAUGCGGCAACGCCGCGGGCGUGAUGACGGCCUUCGGGGUGUGAACCGCUUUCGCCUGAGACGAAGCGUGAGUGACGGUAAUGGGUAAAGAAGCACCGGCUAACUACGUG